GUUGGGCUUGGAGCUAGGAUUUUUCUGAGUGCAAUGAACCAACUCCCGAGUCUCUAGGACGUUCCUAAAAAAAUUUGUUUUUUUCCCCAUAGGAAUGCAUGGGUUAGGGUUAGGGUUAGGGUUGGAGCUAGGGUUAGGGUUAGGGUUAGGGUUGGAGUUAGGGUUAGUGUUGGAGCUAGGGUUAGGGUUGGGCUUGGAGCUAGGAUUUUUCUGAGUGCAAUGAACCAACUCCCGAGUCUCUAGGACGUUCCUAAAAAAAUUGAUUUUUUCCCAUAGGAAUGCAUGGGUUAGGGUUAGGGUUAGGGUUGGAGCUAGGGUUAGGGUUAGGGUUAGGGUUGGAGUUAGGGUUAGUGUUGGAGCUAGGGUUAGGGUUGGGCUUGGAGCUAGGAUUUUUCUGAGUGCAAUGAACCAACUCC
Non-coding RNA from Xyrichtys novacula (pearly razorfish), 416 nucleotides. The record is from the annotation of a GenBank genome assembly. NCBI's taxonomy places the organism in Eukaryota, Metazoa, Chordata, Actinopteri, Labriformes, Labridae.